ACGGAGGUAUCUGCUGGCCCGGGGGAAAAAAGCGAAUCUUAAAUCGUCAAGAAGGCAAAUCUGCAAAUAUUGUUGUGGAAGAACCAAAAAUAUUAAUUGAUAUGGCUGAUAUUCAAAUAUUCCAGUAGAAACUGAGUCUCCAUAUGAGAAGAUAAUGAAAAAACUGGAUUUACUUGGCACAAGCAAAAGGAGACCGAGCAGCUAGGAAAUACGAGGCUGUCUAAAAUAUUAUACCUGGAUUGCCCUCUAUUUGGUGGUCCGAAGAGUAUAGAGGAAUUUAAAGCUGCAAUGCUGGAUGUCCUUAAAAGCACCAAGCAAAGGUACCGAAAAAAUUAGAAAAAUAAAAACUUGUGGGACCUGAUAAUGAGCAGACUUUGUCCAGAAAAGACAUCGAAGAAGAGCUUGCUUCAACUAAAGAUAGCUGGGCUCUUGAGUUGUCGGAGGGAGAUA
Rhagoletis zephyria (snowberry fruit fly) is the source of this 450-nucleotide long non-coding RNA. RefSeq lists it as uncharacterized. NCBI's taxonomy places the organism in Eukaryota, Metazoa, Arthropoda, Insecta, Diptera, Tephritidae. The record is from RefSeq and is a predicted model, not a curated record.